UAGUAAGAGUACUUGUAAAAUUGUUAAUAUAGUGAAUAAGAUGAUAAAUUGUAAAUUUCGUUUUGUAAAAUGCAUCUAUCCCUAAGGGGAUGGAUCAUUUUCGAAAGCGUGGAGUAUAUGUGGGAUCGAAAAAUAUCCCCCUUUUUUAUAUAUUUAUAUAACGACGCAAAUAAGUUGAAAUCCGAUGACAUAGUAGAUUCAGAGAGAGGAUAUGUAAGUUUAUCUUUGGAACUAUUAUUUCAUGAUUGUUUAUACGAAUGUGUACAAGGAAUGUCACUCGAUCUUAGAUCGAUUGUGUAAGAGACAAUAACAGCCAUUCUGGGAGAAAAGGUAAAGGAGAGAACAGCGCUAUAUAAGAGCGAAGCUGGACAAAGGUCCUGGCUUGUGUUCCGGCCGAGUGAC
RNAcentral lists this long non-coding RNA (402 nucleotides) under Androctonus crassicauda. The record is from RNAcentral. Lineage: Eukaryota; Metazoa; Arthropoda; Arachnida; Scorpiones; Buthidae.